GACGAACGCUGGCGGCGUGCUUAACACAUGCAAGUCGAACGGAAAGGCCCUGCGUUUGUGGGGUGCUCGAUGGGCGAACGGGUGAGUAACACGUGUGUAACCUGCCCUUGACUUUGGGAUAACUUCACGAAACUGGGGCUAAUAUCGGAUAGGAUCUCCUGCUGCAUGGUGGGCAGUGGAAAGUUUCGGCUGUUGGGGAUGGACUCGCGGCUUAUCAGCUUGUUGGUGGGGUAGUGGCUUACCAAGGCUUUGACGGGUAGCCGGCCUGAGAGGGUGACCGGCCACAUUGGGACUGAGAUACGGCCCAGACUCCUACGGGAGGCAGCAGUGGGGAAUAUUGCACAAUGGGCGGAAGCCUGAUGCAGCAACGCCGCGUGCGGGAUGACGGCCUUCGGGUUGUAAACCGCUUUCGCCUGUGACGAAGCGUGAGUGACGGUAAUGGGUAAAGAAGCACCGGCUAACUACGUG
RNAcentral lists this ribosomal RNA (468 nucleotides) under uncultured bacterium. Its description in RNAcentral is "partial 16S ribosomal RNA". It matches the Rfam family "Bacterial small subunit ribosomal RNA", at positions 28 to 507 of the family's 1533-position model. The record is from RNAcentral.